RNAcentral lists this small nucleolar RNA (65 nucleotides) under Euglena gracilis. RNAcentral's name for it is "Eg-m63 box C/D methylation-guide snoRNA". Lineage: Eukaryota; Euglenozoa; Euglenophyceae; Euglenales; Euglenaceae. The record is from RNAcentral.
GGCAGGAUUCGAUUGCCGUCCCAGUCCCCAUGCCGACACCCUUUGUUGUUCCUCCACUUAUGAGC